GAUGAACGCUAGCUACAGGCUUAACACAUGCAAGUCGAGGGGCAGCAUGAAUUUACUUCGGUAAAUUUGAUGGCGACCGGCGCACGGGUGCGUAACGCGUAUCCAACCUUCCCGUUACUCCGGGAUAGCCUUCCGAAAGGGAGAUUAAUACCGGAUGGUGUUUGAAGUCCGCAUGAAAUUCAAACUAAAGAUUUAUCGGUAACGGAUGGGGAUGCGUACCAUUAGAUAGUAGGCGGGGUAACGGCCCACCUAGUCGACGAUGGUUAGGGGUUCUGAGAGGAAGGUCCCCCACACUAGAACUGAGACACGGUCCAGACUCCUACGGGAGGCAGCAGUGAGGAAUAUUGGUCAAUGGCCGGGAGGCUGAACCAGCCAAGUAGCGUGAAGGAUGAAGGUUCUAUGGAUUGUAAACUUCUUUUAUACGGGGAAUAACACCAUCUACGUGUAGAUGCCUGCAUGUACCGUAUGAAUAAGCAUCGGCUAACUCCGUGCCAGCAGCCGCGGU
RNAcentral lists this ribosomal RNA (505 nucleotides) under uncultured bacterium. Its description in RNAcentral is "bacterial SSU rRNA". It matches the Rfam family "Bacterial small subunit ribosomal RNA", at positions 28 to 521 of the family's 1533-position model. The record is from RNAcentral.